Molecule: ribosomal RNA, 867 nt
Filed under: Uwebraunia dekkeri
Lineage: Eukaryota; Fungi; Ascomycota; Dothideomycetes; Mycosphaerellales; Dissoconiaceae
Description: eukaryotic LSU rRNA
Rfam family: Eukaryotic large subunit ribosomal RNA
Source: RNAcentral
UAUCAAUAAGCGGAGGAAAAGAAACCAACAGGGAUUGCCCUAGUAACGGCGAGUGAAGCGGCAACAGCUCAAAUUUGAAAUCUGGCGCAAGCCCGAGUUGUAAUUUGUAGAGGAUGCUUCUGGGUAGCGGCCGGUCUAAGUUCCUUGGAACAGGACGUCACAGAGGGUGAGAAUCCCGUAUGUGAUCGGCCCGCGCCCUCUACGUAGCUCCUUCGACGAGUCGAGUUGUUUGGGAAUGCAGCUCUAAAUGGGAGGUAAAUUUCUUCUAAAGCUAAAUACCGGCCAGAGACCGAUAGCGCACAAGUAGAGUGAUCGAAAGAUGAAAAGCACUUUGGAAAGAGAGUUAAACAGCACGUGAAAUUGUUGAAAGGGAAGCGCUUGCAACCAGACUUGACGGCGGUGUUCCCCCGGGCUUCUGCCCGGGUUAUUCACCGUCUUCAGGCCAUCAUCGUCUGGGGCCGCCGGAGAAACCGUCAGGAAUGUGGCUCCCUCGGGAGUGUUAUAGCCUGUCGACAUGCGGCGUGCCCCGGGCGAGGUCCGCGCUUAGGCAAGGAUGAUGGCGUAAUGGUUGUCAGCGGCCCGUCUUGAAACACGGACCAAGGAGUCUAACAUCUAUGCGAGUGUUCGGGUGUCAAACCCCUACGCGUAAUGAAAGUGAACGGAGGUGGGAGCUUCGGCGCACCAUCGACCGAUCCUGAUGUCCUCGGAUGGAUUUGAGUAAGAGCAUAGCUGUUGGGACCCGAAAGAUGGUGAACUAUGCCUGAAUAGGGUGAAGCCAGAGGAAACUCUGGUGGAGGCUCGCAGCGGUUCUGACGUGCAAAUCGAUCGUCAAAUUUGGGUAUAGGGGCGAAAGACUAAUCGAACCAU